GACGAACGCUGGCGGCGUGCUUAACACAUGCAAGUCGAACGGAAAGGCCCUGCUUUUGUGGGGUGCUCGAGUGGCGAACGGGUGAGUAACACGUGAGUAACCUGCCCUUGACUUUGGGAUAACUUCAGGAAACUGGGGCUAAUACCGGAUAGGAGCUCCUGCUGCAUGGUGGGGGUUGGAAAGUUUCGGCGGUUGGGGAUGGACUCGCGGCUUAUCAGCUUGUUGGUGAGGUAGUUGCUUACCAAGGCUUUGACGGGUAGCCGGCCUGAGAGGGUGACCGGCCACCUUGGGACUGAGAUACGGCCCAGACUCCUACGGGAGGCAGCAGUGGGGAAUAUUGCACAGUGGGCGGAAGCCUGAUGCAGCAACGCCGCGUGCGGGAUGACGGCCUUCGGGUUGUAAACCGCUUUCGCCUGUGACGAAGCGUGAGUGACGGUAAUGGGUAAAGAAGCACCGGCUAACUACGUG
This 468-nucleotide ribosomal RNA is filed under the name uncultured bacterium. RNAcentral describes it as "partial 16S ribosomal RNA". It matches the Rfam family "Bacterial small subunit ribosomal RNA", at positions 28 to 507 of the family's 1533-position model. The record is from RNAcentral.